CCUACGGGAGGCUGCAGUGAGGAAUAUUGGUCAAUGGACGCAAGUCUGAACCAGCCAUGCCGCGUGCAGGAUGACGGCCCUAUGAGUUGUAAACUUCUUUUGUACGAGAGUAAACCCCGAUACGUGUAUCGGGUUGAAAGUAUCGUACGAAUAAGGAUCGGCUAACUCCGUGCCAGCAGCCGCGGUAAUACGGAGGAUCCGAGCGUUAUCCGGAUUUAUUGGGUUUAAAGGGUGCGUAGGCGGUUUGAUAAGUUAGAGGUGAAAUUUCGGGGCUCAACCCCGAAACUGCAUCUGAUACUGUUGGACUUGAGAAUAGUUGAGGUAGGCGGAAUGUAUGGUGUAGCGGUGAAAUGCUUAGAGAUCACACAGAACACCGAUUGCGAAGGCAGCUUACCAAACUACAUCUGACGUUGAUGCACGAAAGUGUGGGUAGCAAACAGGAUUAGAUACCCCAGUAGUC
RNAcentral lists this ribosomal RNA (460 nucleotides) under uncultured bacterium. Its description in RNAcentral is "partial 16S ribosomal RNA". It matches the Rfam family "Bacterial small subunit ribosomal RNA", at positions 338 to 795 of the family's 1533-position model. The record is from RNAcentral.